AUUGAACGCUGGCGGCAGGCCUAACACAUGCAAGUCGAGCGAGCGGCGGACGGGUGAGUAAUGUCUGGGAAACUGCCUGAUGGAGAGGGAUAACUACUGGAAACGGUAGCUAAUACCGCAUACCAUCAGAUGUGCCCAGAUGGGCUUGGCUAGUAGGGGGGGGAACGGCUCACCUAGGCGACGAUCGCUAGCUGGUCGGAGAGGAUGACCAGCCACACUGGAACGUGUACACGGUCCAGACGCCUAGGGUGGCAAGCAGUGGGGAAUAUUGCACAAGGGGGGAAGGCCUGAUGCAGCCAGGCCGGGUGUGGGAAGAAGGCCUUGGGGUUGAAAAGCCCUUUCAGCGGGGAGGCGUUACCCGCAGAAGAAGCACCGGCUAACUCCGUGCCAGCAGCCGCGUAAUUC
RNAcentral lists this ribosomal RNA (405 nucleotides) under uncultured bacterium. RNAcentral's name for it is "partial 16S ribosomal RNA". It matches the Rfam family "Bacterial small subunit ribosomal RNA", at positions 29 to 526 of the family's 1533-position model. The record is from RNAcentral.